CCUACGGGAGGCAGCAGUGGGGAAUAUUGCACAAUGGGGGAAACCCUGAUGCAGCGACGCCGCGUGAGUGAAGAAGUAAUUCGUUGUGUAAAGCUCUAUCAGCAGGGAAGAAAAUGACGGUACCUGAGUAAGAAGCCCCGGCUAACUACGUGCCAGCAGCCGCGGUAAUACGUAGGGGGCAAGCGUUAUCCGGAUUUAUUGGGUGUAAAGGGUGCGCAGGCGGGAGGUCACGUCAGCGGUAAAAUGUCGGGGCUAAACCCCGGACGGCCGUUGAAACUGGUUUGCUUGGGUUGGAGAGGAGUAUGCGGAAUUCGUGGUGUAGCGGUGAAAUGCGUAGAUAGCACGAAGAACACCGGUUGCGAAGGCAGCAUGCCGGCUCCCUACUGACGCUGAGGCACGAAAGCGUGGGGAGCGAACAGGAUUAGAUACCCCAGUAGUC
RNAcentral lists this ribosomal RNA (439 nucleotides) under uncultured bacterium. RNAcentral describes it as "partial 16S ribosomal RNA". It matches the Rfam family "Bacterial small subunit ribosomal RNA", at positions 338 to 795 of the family's 1533-position model. The record is from RNAcentral.